AACGAACGCUGGCGGCAUGCCUAACACAUGCAAGUCGAACGAGACCUUCGGGUCUAGUGGCGCACGGGUGCGUAACGCGUGGGAACCUGCCCUUAGGUUCGGAAUAACUCCCCGAAAGGGGUGCUAAUACCGGAUAAUGUCUUCGGACCAAAGAUUUAUCGCCUUUGGAUGGGCCCGCGUUGGAUUAGCUAGUUGGUAGGGUAAAAGCCUACCAAGGCGACGAUCCAUAGCUGGUCUGAGAGGAUGAUUAGCCACACUGGGACUGAGACACGGCCCAGACUCCUACGGGAGGCAGCAGUGGGGAAUAUUGGACAAUGGGCGAAAGCCUGAUCCAGCAAUGCCGCGUGAGUGAUGAAGGCCUGAGGGUUGUAAAGCUCUUUUACCCGGGAUGAUAAUGACAGUACCGGGAGAAUAAGCUCCGGCUAACUCCGUG
Molecule: ribosomal RNA, 433 nt
Filed under: uncultured bacterium
Lineage: Bacteria
Description: partial 16S ribosomal RNA
Rfam family: Bacterial small subunit ribosomal RNA
Source: RNAcentral